GUCUGCAUGGCUCAGCUGGUUAGAGCGCCGGUCUCAUACAGUCGUAUGAACACUUUAGAUCAGUGUGUAAUCCGGAGAUCCUGAGUUCGAUCCUCAGUGCGGACA
This is a transfer RNA of Fistulina hepatica ATCC 64428, 105 nucleotides long. It matches the Rfam family "tRNA". Rfam says of the family: Transfer RNA (tRNA) molecules are approximately 80 nucleotides in length. Their secondary structure includes four short double-helical elements and three loops (D, anti-codon, and T loops). NCBI's taxonomy places the organism in Eukaryota, Fungi, Basidiomycota, Agaricomycetes, Agaricales, Fistulinaceae. The record is from Rfam.